CCCUUAGAUGUUCUGGGCUGCACGCGCGCUACACUGACGCACGCAACAGGUGCCUGCUCCGAGAGGACUGGGUAAUCAUUUGAGUGUGCGUCGUGAUGGGGAUAGAAUAUUGUAAUUAUUACUCUUCAACGAGGAAUUCCUAGUAAGCGCCAGUCAGCAGCUUGCGCUGAUUACGUCCCUGCCAUUUGUACACACCGCCCGUCGCUCCUACCGAUUGAAUGGUUUAGUGAGAUCUCCGGAUUGGCUCUGUAGGUCCCGCAAGGGAUUUAUUAGUAGCCAAGAAGCUGCUCAAACUUGAUCAUUUAGAGGAAGUAAAAGUCGUAACA
This 326-nucleotide ribosomal RNA is filed under the name uncultured eukaryote. Its description in RNAcentral is "partial 18S ribosomal RNA". It matches the Rfam family "Eukaryotic small subunit ribosomal RNA", at positions 1470 to 1796 of the family's 1831-position model. The record is from RNAcentral.